This 429-nucleotide non-coding RNA is filed under the name Pongo abelii (Sumatran orangutan). The record is from RNAcentral. Lineage: Eukaryota; Metazoa; Chordata; Mammalia; Primates; Hominidae.
GCCAUGCAAGGCAAGAGGUGACUCCCACGACCAGUGCGGGUCACAGCAUAGGUGACAGAAGCUAUGGCAGAGGCACUUGAACCCUCUCGGAGGGGAAAACCAGGCUCCCAACCUCAGCUCGCCUCCCGCAGCCAGGGACUGAGGAGAGCAGGGCCUUCCCCUCCCCGAUGGACACUUGGCAGGCCCCGCCCGGCGCCCCUGAUUGGACGAAGCGCCGGGCCCCGCCCCCUCAGCCUUUUGAGUCAGGGUCUCACCCUGUGGCCCAGGCUGCCCUCCAGUGAUGCCAUCAUGACUCAGUGCAACCUAAAACUCCCAGGUUCAAAUGAUCUACCAUCCUGACCUCCAAAAGGGCUAGAUUAUACACAUAAGCCAUGUCACACUUUAUAUGUUUCUAGGGAAGCUUUUCUAAGAAUAAAUACAUUGGAACUA